Molecule: ribosomal RNA, 334 nt
Filed under: uncultured eukaryote
Lineage: Eukaryota
Description: partial 18S ribosomal RNA
Rfam family: Eukaryotic small subunit ribosomal RNA
Source: RNAcentral
CCCUUAGAUGUCCGGGGCCGCACGCGCGCUACACUGAAGGAAUCAGCGUGGCUUUCUCCCUGACCCGAAAGGGUUGGGAAACCCGUUGAAUCUCCUUCGUGAUAGGGAUUGGGGCUUGAAAUUGUUCCCCAUGAACGAGGAAUUCCCAGUAAGCGCGAGUCAUAAGCUCGCGUUGAUUACGUCCCUCCCCUUUGUACACACCGCCCGUCGCUACUACCGAUUGAACGGUUUAGUGAGGGCCUCGGAUUGGUCUCGGCCCGCUCUUUACCGGGCGGCGCCGUUGGUCGAGAAGACGCUCGAACUUGAUCGUUUAGAGGAAGUAAAAGUCGUAACA